AUUGAACGCUGGCGGCAGGCCUAACACAUGCAAGUCGAGCGGAUGAAGGGAGCUUGCUCCUGGAUUCAGCGGCGGACGGGUGAGUAAUGCCUAGGAAUCUGCCUGGUAGUGGGGGAUAACGUCCGGAAACGGGCGCUAAUACCGCAUACGUCCUGAGGGAGAAGGGGGGGGAUUUGGGGCCCCCCCCUUACCAGUUGCCCUAGGUCGGAUUAGCUAGUUGGUGGGGUAAAGGCCUACCAAGGCGACGAUCCGUAACUGGUCUGAGAGGAUGAUCAGUCACACUGGAACUGAGACACGGUCCAGACUCCUACGGGAGGCAGCAGUGGGGAAUAUUGGACAAUGGGCGAAAGCCUGAUCCAGCCAUGCCGCGUGUGUGAAGAAGGUCUUCGGAUUGUAAAGCACUUUAAGUUGGGAGGAAGGGCAGUAAGUUAAUACCUUGCUGUUUUGACGUUACCAACAGAAUAAGCACCGGCUAACUUCGUG
Molecule: ribosomal RNA, 483 nt
Filed under: uncultured bacterium
Lineage: Bacteria
Description: partial 16S ribosomal RNA
Rfam family: Bacterial small subunit ribosomal RNA
Source: RNAcentral